RNAcentral lists this ribosomal RNA (1236 nucleotides) under metagenome. Its description in RNAcentral is "bacterial LSU rRNA". It matches the Rfam family "Bacterial large subunit ribosomal RNA", at positions 1564 to 2808 of the family's 2925-position model. The record is from RNAcentral.
CGAAUACGAGACGCUACGGCGUCGAAGUAGUGUAUGUCAUGCUUCCAAGAAAAGCUUGCACUGUCAUAGAUAAAAAAUGCCUGUACCAUAACCGACACAGGUGGGUAGGUAGAGUAUACUAAGGGGCGCGAGAUAACUCUCUCUAAGGAACUCGGCAAAAUAACUCCGUAACUUCGGGAGAAGGAGUGCCUUAUUUAAUAAGGUUGCAAUAACAAGAUCCAAGCAACUGUUUACCAAAAACACAGGUCUCCGCUAAGUCGUAAGACGAUGUAUGGGGGCUCACGCCUGCCCAGUGCCAGAAGGUUAAAGAAGUUGGUUAGCAUCUGCGAAGCUGAUAACUGAAGCCCUGGUGAACGGCGGCCGUAACUAUAACGGUCCUAAGGUAGCGAAAUUCCUUGUCGGGUAAGUUCCGACCCGCACGAAAGGCGUAAUGAUUUGGAUACUGUCUCGGAGAGGGGCUCGGUGAAAUAGACUUGUCUGUGAAGAUGCGGACUACCUGCACCUGGACAGAAAGACCCUAUGAAGCUUUACUGUAACUUGAAAUUGAAAUUGGACUUUAUUCGCGCAGUAUAGGUGGGAGGCGUUGAAAAUACUCUUGCGGGAGUAUUGGAGCUAUCAGUGAGAUACCACUCUUAUAAUGUUAGAUUUCUAACUUUGAACCAUUAUCUGGUCAAAGAACAGUUUCAGGCGGGCAGUUUGACUGGGGCGGUCGCCUCCCAAACGGUAACGGAGGCGUACAAAGGUUUCCUCUGAACGGAUAGAAAUCGUAUCUAGAGUAUAAAGGCAUAAGGAAGCUUGACUGUGAGACCUACAAGUCGAGCAGGGACGAAAGUCGGUCUUAGUGAUCUGACGGUACUGAGUGGAAAGGCCGUCACUCAACGGAUAAAAGUUACUCUAAGGAUAACAGGCUGAUCUCCCCCAAGAGUUCACAUCGACGGGGAGGUUUGGCACCUCGAUGUCGGCUCAUCGCAUCCUGGGGCGGUAGUACGUCCCAAGGGUUGGGCUGUUCGCCCAUGAAAGCGGUACGCGAGCUGGGUUCAGAACGUCGUGAGACAGUUCGGUCCAUAUCCGGUGUAGGCGUUAGAAUAUUGAGAGGAGCCUUCUCUAGUACGAGAGGACCGAGAAGGACAUACCUCUGGUGUACCAGUUAUCGUGCCAACGGUAAACGCUGGGUAGCUAUGUAUGGAGUGGAUAACCGCUGAAAGCAUCUAAGUGGGAAGCCCACCUCAAGAUAAG